CAGUAGCCGCGGUAAUACGUAGGGUGCAAGCGUUAAUCGGAAUUACUGGGCGUAAAGCGUGCGCAGGCGGUUAUAUAAGACAGAUGUGAAAUCCCCGGGCUCAACCUGGGAACUGCAUUUGUGACUGUAUAGCUAGAGUACGGCAGAGGGGGAUGGAAUUCCGCGUGUAGCAGUGAAAUGCGUAGAUAUGCGGAGGAACACCGAUGGCGAAGGCAAUCCCCUGGGCCUGUACUGACGCUCAUGCACGAAAGCGUGGGGAGCAAACAGGAUUAGAUACCCGUGUAGUCCCUGUCUCUUAUAA
RNAcentral lists this ribosomal RNA (301 nucleotides) under uncultured bacterium. Its description in RNAcentral is "partial 16S ribosomal RNA". It matches the Rfam family "Bacterial small subunit ribosomal RNA", at positions 509 to 809 of the family's 1533-position model. The record is from RNAcentral.